This 346-nucleotide unclassified non-coding RNA is filed under the name soil metagenome. RNAcentral describes it as "partial contains 5.8S ribosomal RNA, internal transcribed spacer 2, and large subunit ribosomal RNA". The stretch from base 1 to 119 matches the Rfam family "5.8S ribosomal RNA", at positions 35 to 154 of the family's 154-position model. The record is from RNAcentral.
GAUGAAGAAGCAGCAAAAUGCGAUAAGUAAUGUGAAUUCCAGAAUUCAGUGAAUCAUCGAAUCUUUGAACGCACAUUGCGCCCGCUGGUAUUCCGGCGGGCAUGCCUGUUCGAGCGUCAUUUCAACCCUCAAACCCCCCGGGUUUGGUGUUGGGGAUCGGCUCUGCCUCACGGCGGUGCCGCCCCCGAAAUACAUUGGCGGUCUCGCUGCAGCCUCCAUUGCGUAGUAGCUAACACCUCGCAACUGGAACGCGGCGCGGCCAUGCCGUAAAACCCCAACUUCUGAAUGUUGACCUCGGAUCAGGUAGGAAUACCCGCUGAACUUAAGCAUAUCAAUAAGCGGAGGA